GACGUAGGGCGCAAGCGUUGUCCGGAUUUAUUGGGCGUAAAGAGCUCGUAGGCGGCCUGUCGCGUCGACCGUGAAAACCCGCAGCUCAACUGCGGGCUUGCGGUCGAUACGGGCAGGCUGGAGUUCGGUAGGGGAGACUGGAAUUCCUGGUGUAGCGGUGAAAUGCGCAGAUAUCAGGAGGAACACCGGUGGCGAAGGCGGGGCGCUGGGCCGAUACUGACGCUGAGGAGCGAAAGCGUGGGGAGCGAACAGG
Molecule: ribosomal RNA, 253 nt
Filed under: uncultured bacterium
Lineage: Bacteria
Description: partial 16S ribosomal RNA
Rfam family: Bacterial small subunit ribosomal RNA
Source: RNAcentral